GCACGGACAACGCCGGGGUGUUGACCUGUCAGUCAAUCACAGUUCUACAUUUACUGUCCCAGAGGGACAUUCUCAACUGGAAUAUCUAGUCCAGUGUGUGGUGGUCUACCGCCGCCGCAGCGUCACCGACCUCCUUCAGGAACAGGUCAAACUCUUCGUCCAGCUCCUCCUUGGUCAGUCUGUGAGACAUGUCCAGCCAAAAGGGACCCAGACCGCUGACAAAGACAAGGAGAAGGGACACGGCGUGUGUGACUCACAUUAUCAAACAGUAAAAGUCGACAUAGGAUUAUCGUUCUUUUCAUUGAGACCCCGGGCGCCAUUCGCCGACCUGAUUGGCUAGAAACCAGCGCGUCAUCAGGAAUAACACCCAAUGGACAGACGGGGGUGGACCAUAAGAUGAGGACGCGUCUCAAAGUCGCUGGGCUGCAUCCUUCGACAACCACACAGGCCGAACCGAACGGUCUGUCCUACUUCCUGCGGUGUCAUCAGCGUUACCUCGGCUGCAACCUGCUGAGCCUGAUAAGUUUAAUAAAGUUUUUAAUAAAGUUAAAAAUAUUUAGAAAUUAAAAAUAAAGUGUACCAGCGAACAGACAAGUGCAGUGUGAAAGAAAGUGACCGGUGGAAUGUCAGAGUCAGUCCAGUUAUUUUAAAUUCAAAUGAAAUCAGUUAAUGUAUAAUACAUAAUUUAUUACUAAUUUAAAAUUACUCUCAUCUAAAAGUACUGCAAUCUUAAGUCAGAG
This is a long non-coding RNA of Gasterosteus aculeatus aculeatus (three-spined stickleback), 740 nucleotides long. The record is from Ensembl. NCBI's taxonomy places the organism in Eukaryota, Metazoa, Chordata, Actinopteri, Perciformes, Gasterosteidae.